GGGGCGGGGCAAGCGUUGUUCGGAAUUACUGGGCGUAAAGGGCUCGUAGGCGGCCAACUAAGUCGGACGUGAAAUCCCCAGGCUCAACCUGGGAACUGCGUCCGAUACUGGAUGGCUUGAAUCCGGGAGAGGGAUGCAGAAUUCCAGGUGUAGCGGUGAAAUGCGUAGAUAUCUGGAGGAAUACCGGUGGCGAAGGCGGCAUCCUGGACCGGCAUUGACGCUGAGGAGCGAAAGCCAGGGGAGCAAACGGGAUUAGAUACCCCGGUAGUCCUGGCCCUAAACGAUGAAUGCUUGGUGUAACGGGUAUCGAUCCCUGUUGUGCCGAAGCWAACGCAUUAAGCAUUCCGCCUGGGGAGUACGGUCGCAAGGCUG
Molecule: ribosomal RNA, 372 nt
Filed under: uncultured bacterium
Lineage: Bacteria
Description: bacterial SSU rRNA
Rfam family: Bacterial small subunit ribosomal RNA
Source: RNAcentral